Hypanus sabinus (Atlantic stingray) is the source of this 4970-nucleotide long non-coding RNA. RefSeq lists it as uncharacterized. The transcript is spliced from 3 exons. NCBI's taxonomy places the organism in Eukaryota, Metazoa, Chordata, Chondrichthyes, Myliobatiformes, Dasyatidae. The record is from RefSeq and is a predicted model, not a curated record.
CUGACGCGAACUUCCCAUUCCAACGCUUGUGUGCAUUGGAGACAGCGGAACCUAUUCUGCGGUUGUGUGGGAAAGAAAGGCAAACACAGUAACCCCAAGAAAGACUGCACCCAAAUGGAUGGACGAACAACCAAUGUGCAAAAGACAACAAAAUGUGCAAGUACAAAAGAAAAAAAGUGAAGCUGACUACAACAGACUGUUUUCUAAGCUACCAUUAGAGAAGACCUCAGUGAUAAAGACCUACGCUGGUGAGAAAAUGUCUCCCAAAGGCAGAGUGAAAGUGAACGUGAUCAAUGGAGGCCAAACACAGCAGUUGGAGUUUUAUGUAUUGUAAAGUGGCAGGCCAGCACUUUUUGAAUGCGAAUGGUUGAGAAAAGUCCAAUUGGACUGGCACGCACUCAAAUCUCUCAAUGUGUCAUCAUCUGGUGAACGCCACCCAAAUGGUAACACUAACCAGAGACUGUCAUAGCUACUUAAUGCAAAUGAAAAGGUGUUUGAGAAGGGGCUUGGUAAACUCAAAGGCAUGAAGGCCAGAAUUGGAUGUCAUCAUGACUGGCAAGAAUGAAGUAGAACAUCUUCAGAACCUUGGUAAAGUGCUAAGUGAAUAUGGUCUGCUCGCAAAGAGAGAAAUGUGAGUUUUUCAAGAAUGAAAUCUCAUAUUGUGGACAUGUCAUUGGCAAAGAUGGUUAACAUGAGUCACAAGAGAAGAUUGAAGCAGCGCUACAGGCAUCCAAAUGGGAAAAUGUGUUACAGUUCAGGUCAUACUUGGGUUUCUCCCAAAUAAUGUUAGUGCUGCACCCAUUGGAACGCACUGUUGCAGACAGGAGCAAAGUAGGAAUGGUCAGAAAGAUGUGAAAAGAGCAUUCAAGAAUACAAAAACUCUAAUAAAAUCAGAUGAUCUGUUCACCCAUUAUGACCCAUUGCUGCCCAUCUGACUGGCUGCAAUGCAUUCCCUUAUUGGAACCAUUUUGUCACACUCUGUGGCAGAUGGAUCUGAACAUCUGAUUGCAUCAAGAGUACUGAUGAGUGCAGAACACAACAACGCAUAGAUCGACCGAGAGGCCCUUAGUCUACUAUGGGGAAUAAAGAAGUUUUACAAAAGUUUACGCUAGUGACAGAUCAUCAGCCCUGUAUGUCCAUUUCAAUCCCAGGAGUGGAAUUUCAGUGGUGUCUGCCACCCUGUUACAAUGUUAGGCACUGUUCCAAAGAGCACUUUCUUAUGACAUAGAGUUCAAGGAUACCAAACAACACAGUAAUGUUGAUGGUUUGUCACGUCUUCUACUGUUGGCAACCAAAGAAGAAGAGGCUUUAUAAUGUGAGCCAGCAGAGAUGUUCCACACAACAUUGAUGGAACAGCUGCUGGUAAAAAAUUCUGAAAUGCAAAGUGAAACAAGGAAUGACCCGGUAUUGUCAAAAGUCUAUGAUGUCAUCAUGCAAGGAUUGUCAGCUCAUGGUAACCCUUUGUUUCCAGAAUUCCCUGUGAGACGAGACCAAAUAUCUGUGUCAAAGAACACUGAUGAGUGGAUCUCAUGUUGUGGUUCCCCCUAAACUGCACACCAGAGUGUUAGAGAAUCUGCAUGAAGGACACCUGAGUACAGUCAAGAUGAAGAGUCUUGCCUGAACCUCCGUGUGGUGGCCUGUAAUAGAUAUACAGAUUGAAGACUUGGCCAACAGCUGUUUGGGAUGCCAAAAAGUUCAAAAUGCACCCCAAAGGCAUCGUUACACCAAUAGGCAUGACCAUUGUCAUUAUUGCAUUGACUUUGCUAGGCCAUUCACGGCUCCAUUUUUUGAUUGUGUGGAUACUCAUUCGAAGCGGCUGGAAGUCAUCCCAAUGAAGUCAACCACCUCUGCUCUGCGGUCUACACCAGAAACUGCUUACCAGAACAAAUUGUGAAUGACAACGGACCACAAUACACUUCAGAAGAAUUCGGACUAUUCUUGAAAAAAAAGGCAUCAGACUUUUCAAGUCAGCUCCUCACCACCAGCAUCAAAUGGGUUAGCUGAAAGGUUUAUUCAUAUCUUCAAGAAGUCCAUUAAAGCAAUGGACAAGAAGGACAUUUCUGUACAGCACAAGGUGGACAAUCUCCUUUUUGUGUAUUGGAACUCUGUUCAUGCGACGACAAAUCAAGCACCUGCAAUGCUGUUCAUGAGCAGGAAUCUGAAAUCUUGCAUAGACCUCCUGAAGGAAGUGCAGAAUAAACAGAUCAACCAAUUGCCAAUUGAAUCAGCAAGGAGCUUUAAGGUUGACAUGAAGUCCUAGCACAUGAUUACCAAGAAAACAUGUGGACCCUUGGUAAGAUAGCUACAAGAACUGAACCACUGAUGUGCAUAGUGGAUGUUGGAGAUCAUACAUGGAGGUGUCAUGUGGACCAGAUGCUGGAUGAUCAACUGAAAAACACAGCUGAGUUGAUUGCAUCCAACAAGAUGGACACAUUGCAAUCACCGGACUUACCUGAUCACAUAACUGACAACAAUGUGACACCGGAAACGAAGAACGUUGUCUUAGACAAGACACCUACCAAACCUGAUGCCACUUCACAGUUCCAGAAGCGCUAUCCUGAAAGAAACAGAGUGCCACCCAAAACACUGAACCUUUAGUGAAGUUAGUUAUGGACUGUGAUUGUGAAAGUAUGUUUAUUUGAUUACAGUUUGUUUGCACGUGCAUUGUUUUCUGCCUUUCGAUCCCCCUCCCAAUGUGAAUACACCCGUUAAAGCCACCUCCCAUGUGCGUGCUUAUAUUUAAUUGAUAUGUAGUUGCAAAGACACAACACUUCCCUAUACAUACACACUCUUUCUCUACUAUGAUGGCAAUAUAAAAUGUUAAUCUGCCCGUAUACCACCACAAAACUUUCCCUUUAUUGGCAAGAUGCAGUGAAUUAUAAUAUGCCGCUGUAGCAGACUAAACAUAAAGCAUACAGUACAGUCCAGACCCUUUGGCCCAGAUGUUUUGCUGACUCUAACCUGCUGGAAUCAAAUUUUUUUUCCUAUUACAAGAUAUCUAAGUUUUUUCUGAGUUCAAAUUAUGUGCAAAAUUAAAUUAACUAAUUACAAUAGCCAAACUAUUUGUUAGAAUGGUUUUGAUUUUGAGACCAGGCAGAAAAGCUAAUACUGUCAAGCCGCAUUUGAAAGCCAUUUGAGACACAUAAAUGUUCUUGCAUACUUAUUGUAUGAUCAAACUAACCCUUCCCUCCUACACCUCCCAUAACCCUCCAUUUUUCUUCUAUCCAAGUGCCUAUUUAAAAGUCUUUUAAAUGUCCUUAAAAAGAUGUGAUCCCUUUUUUUAAUCCAACUUGAGAUACUAAUGAAGGACUGAAAUAAAAAGAUUACUGAAGAAACUUUUGACAGGACAAUUAUUACAAGUUAAGUAUACUGGAAUCAUAACAUGGCGAAUCAAAGCUCAAAAAUCUGAUUUGAAUUUGUAGUCAUACUCUGCAAGUUGAAAUUUGAUGGAAAGAUGUUUAUGCCGCUUAAUAUAUAUAAAAAAAUACAUCUGGAACAGUACAUGAUUGGGAAAUCCCAGUAGAGUUGGGCUUUUAGAAAUUGAACUAGAAAAUUUGUUUAAAUGCAUAGUGAAACUUAUUUCCAUCAUAAAGGGAAUACGUGAGGGAGCAUGGUUAUUAAAGUAGAUUAAAAUCUAGUUACCCUAGAAACAGAACCUUUUCUUUUGAUGUGCAAUCACAUUCUAUGAUAAAUAAACUUUUUUGGAAGGGUAGGGAAAGGAUCACCAACAAAAAAUUACCUGGGCAUUUCGAGAGACAGUUUGACAUUCUACAUGGAUUGGUACUCACUCAGAAAGUUGGUGUAACAUCUUGAGUGUAGUUGGUUCAAAUUUCAUUUCGUAUAAUUCUGGUGUGACAUGGCCCUCUUGGCUAUAACCUGCUGGAAUCAAAUUUUUUUUCCUAUUACAAGAUAUCUUUUUCUGAGUUCAAAUUAUGUGCAAAAUUAAAUUAACUAAUUACAAUAGCCAAACUAUUUGUUAGAAUGUUUUUGAUUUUGAGACCAGGCAGAAAAGCUAAUACUGUCAAGCCGCAUUUGAAAGCCAUUUGAGACACAUAAAUGUUUUUGCAAUAACAAUAUGAAGAUGCUUGAAUUCACAGCUUGGUUAUAAUUUGAUUCAGCAAUAGUUUGUUUUUUAAGGAUACAAAAAUAUAUCAAAUACUUUGAACCCAUUUCAUCAAAAUAAUGCUCUACCUGUAUUAAAUACAUGCACCAGGAUAAUACCUGUCAGCUUAACUAUUAUGCUUUAAUACUACAUUGCAUUAUAGCAUUAUCAGAAAGACAAUAACACACCCUGAGGUCAUUGAAGUGCUGUAGAAUGAGUUACGUGCUGUUUUAUAUUAGUAAUUUACACUGUAAAUUUAGUCAUUUCACAAAGACCUAAGAUAAAUGACUUCUGAUAAAAGCAAGAAUUAAUGAAGUUUAUGAUGUUAUUAUGGUUUCUAUGCACAAAUUUCACAAGGUUCUUCUCUGAUUUCACUAUUGGAAAUAGCAAUGAACUAUUUAUAACAUUGGACAUUUAGCAGAAUGCAGUUGAAAAUUCUUUAACAUUUUCAUUACUUAUAGUCAAACUUGUUUUAAUUAAUUUAUGUCAAAUAAUUAACUAUUCAUAUUACUUAGAAAUAAUGUGAAAACUGGUAUAAAGUGUUGAACUAUUUUUAUUCAUAAGGAUCUGAAAUGGGAUUUUUAUUUUGCUGAUGCAUAUUUUGAAAAUGUGAACUUCAACUAGAUUCAAGAUUUAAUAAUUGCACCUUCUGAGCCCUUCUUGCAUCUUUUUAUGGAUGGAUCUAAUUUCCACAGGCAAUAUGUUUCACUGCAUGUUUUGACUUUAAUACACCCGUCAUUCAUUUUUAACUUGAUUUGUAGGAAUUGAUUUAAAUUUGUUCCCCCACAUAUUUAUGUUAUUUAUAAAUGACCACAGCUUUACAGUCCAGAUUUUGUGGUGUCCUGCUUGUUUGUGACUAAAAUCUUAU